This 486-nucleotide transfer RNA is filed under the name uncultured Flavobacteriaceae bacterium. RNAcentral's name for it is "16S-23S ribosomal RNA intergenic spacer". The stretch from base 78 to 151 matches the Rfam family "tRNA". The record is from RNAcentral. Lineage: Bacteria; Pseudomonadati; Bacteroidota; Flavobacteriia; Flavobacteriales; Flavobacteriaceae.
AGAGAAAGUAAGACGACUGAAUUGUAGGGUUUUUAAGCAUGCGUUUUGCUAAUGCUGUCAUUAUUAAUAUCGAUUAGAGUCUCGUAGCUCAGCCGGUUAGAGCGCUACACUGAUAAUGUAGAGGUCGGCAGUUCGAGUCUGCCCGAGACUACAACGAUAAAGGGAAUUUAUAGUUGAGAGUUCUACAUUUUGAAUUCUUAUCAGAUUCAGAAUGGGGAAUUAGCUCAGCUGGCUAGAGCACUUGAUUUGCAUUCAAGAGGUCGUGGGUUCGACUCCCACAUUCUCCACAAGUUUUUAACUUAAACGAUCAUUGACAUAUUGAAAAUUUUUAUUUCACAAACACCAGUUAUCCAAUUUGUGUUUGUGAUUAUAGAUACACUACAAGGUAUAAAUUGGUUUUACCAAUUUGUACGAAGGUAUGAAUUGGUUUUUACCAAUUUGUACGAGCAUAAUAAUAAAUACAAUUUCAAAGAAAAGUAAAGUUAC